Cyprinus carpio carpio is the source of this 1403-nucleotide long non-coding RNA. Lineage: Eukaryota; Metazoa; Chordata; Actinopteri; Cypriniformes; Cyprinidae. The record is from Ensembl.
AAAAAAAAAAAAAAAACAUGUUUUCAGUUAGCUUUUAACUGUGUGAAAUAGACAUUUAUGUUUUCAUCCACUGCCUUUAAUGUCAUAGUUUGCUAGUGAUGGACUUUGAACUAUGCAUAUAUUGUGUGUUGCUUUCAGCCAAUCAACGCUGUCAUGAUGUUAUCAGCUCAUUUUCAGACAUUGGCUCAAAACGACCUGGCAGCAGAACAGAGCACCUAUGAGCAAAGAUGAUUUCAAAUUGCAUACCGAGCAAGCGCUGUUGGAAUGCUAAUGGUUAGCUUUAGCAUGGUAUAUUAGUCUUUCAUGGUUUCCACUAACCCAAACUUUAGAAUUUCUCAUUUAGAGUGAGUCUGGCAUUUCAAAAAAUCAGCAUACAUGAAAACAAUGUCAGUUUAUGAAAAAGGAAGAAAGAAACGAAUCAGCCGUGGUUGACAUUUGAAACUCUGACUUGUCAGACGGUGAAUUAUGUUCAAGCCCUGUUAGAAGAAGCGCACAGCAUGCCUGCACAGAAAUGCGGCGUUACCUUCAAAUUAUGCAGGAGCGACUCGUGCUCGUCCGUGGGUUGGCUGCACGCCGCUCGACAUGUGUCAGGGCCGCCACGUCUCCGCUGAGCUAAUGAUGCUACACCGGACAGCCCACUGUCCUUCUGAGCGUGCGUGCGUGUGUGAGCCCAGACGUGACAUCGUCAGUAGAGACCCUCCAUCUGAUUAAAACAAAACCAAACCAGAAAAAGCAAGCGGGGGAAAAAGAAAAGAAAAAACCGGCACAGAUGCGUGUCAGGUUAAGCUGGCGAUGGGGUGGACAUGCUCGCGUUGUUUGUAAGAUGCCAGAGAAGCUGUGGGUGGAUUUCAGCCCGGGUUUUGGUGCAACUCCCCUCCGUUUUGCUAUCGAGUCCAAUACAGCGGCUGAGCGGAUGGGCUGAAGUGAAGCUGGUCGUCUCUGCUCGGCGUGAGUGAUGAGCAGUAGAAUAGACAGGCUGUCACAGCACACCUGUAGGCCUGGCAGCCGAGUCCAUCAUUGGGCUGAGCCUUCACAGAGAUUAAAAACACUGCAUCCAUUAGGCCUUGUGUCAGCCGUCAUUAUUCUAUAAAGAAGCGAUUUUGUCACAUCUACAUUCUUCAGGCCGCUAUCCGCACGCAGAUGAAUAAGCGGGAUGUUCCAUCUCCAAACACGGCUCACUUUUGACAGGAACACAACCAUUUGUGACGCCAUCUCCCCAAUACUUCACACAUCCAUUGGGAAGGAAGCAUCAAAUAAGUCUUAAUGCAAUGAUCCCGCAGUCCAUCACCUGAUGGGACUUUAAGUUUUCCAGUCAUAUUUAUUCUCGGAAAUGUACGUUUCGUCCUAGAGCUGUCAUUCAAACGGGCUCACAAUUUAUUCUGCCAUGUGCAUUUAUCUGACAG